This is a non-coding RNA of Zonotrichia albicollis (white-throated sparrow), 1630 nucleotides long. The record is from RefSeq and is a predicted model, not a curated record. NCBI's taxonomy places the organism in Eukaryota, Metazoa, Chordata, Aves, Passeriformes, Passerellidae.
CCUUAGGGAAUAUGCUUCCUGCUCUUUAACUCCCUGCAAACUGGUAGUUUUUGGGGAUAAACCCUGAAAGUUCAGCUCUCCUUGCCUGUGGUGCCAAUGCUUCCUGCUCACACUGGCCUCACACCAGGUUAAUUCCACUGCUGUGGUGAUUUGCAUGAGUACAAGCACAAAAACCCUCAUGCAAGCUGGAAAGGCUUUACCAUUAUUUCCCCAACACUGAAAUAUGUGUCUGCAGUGUGGUGCUUUUUAGCACAGCAUCCACUCAGAUGGUGGGGAAUUCAUCACAGCCCAGGGUGAGUAAUUCCAAUGGCUCAUUACUCUUUCAAUUACAAACUGGCACUUUCUUUGCAGUCUGAAUUUGUCUAAUUUUGGUUCCAGCCACUGGAUAUUGAUAUGGCUUUGUCUGUUAGAUUAAAGAGAGUUCUGUUAUAUCUCAUCUUUAGUAAGUGCUCUUCAUCUUUAAUAAGAUACUUCUUGAUGUCCUUUUGAUAAACUGAAUUAUUAAGCACCUUCAGUAUCUCAGUGUGAGCAGCUCUGCUCCACCCCACAGCCCUCAGUCUGUACCUUCAUUUUCCUCCUGGAUUCCUGCUUGGAUACUGCUUGGUUGCCCACUAAGCCCAUCAUGCCACCAUGAGACCUCAGUGUAGAGCUGGCACAUCUGCCACAUCUGCAGGGGCACUAGAUGUGGACAUCUGCAUUUAGGUACCUGAAUCAAGCCCUGAAAUUCCAGAACAAGGAAAGAAGAUCCAUCUCCCCUAAACUGAACCACCAACAGGUACUUCAGAAAUCAUCCCAGCCUUUGUGCUGGGGUUUAGACAUAGGCCAGGAGCUCUCAAGGACAACCACCAGCCAUGUUCUACACCUGCAAGUCUACCUGGAGGGGACCUGAAUGGCACUGCCAGAUUUCUCAUGGCUCUUCAGAAUGCCUGGGUUUGGGAUGGCCCCCGUUCUGAUGGUGUUUCAGAGCUGUUCUACAGGACUGUGGCUGUUAGUUGUGUAAUUUGGAUUUAUAUACAGUGACUGAUCAUGUGCCAAGAGUUUUAUUAUGGACAACAAAUCCCAUUCAAUCAACAGCAGAGCCCAAACAGCCAUUGUUGAGCCCCAGUGCUUAGAACAGAGUUGGAUGACUCCAGGCACGCCAGAUGGGACCCACCACCCUCACUGUGCUCUGUGUGAGCAAUCAGCAUGUGGAGGGGCUGCAGACUCCCUCACCAGCUGUGCUGGGUGGAAGCUGGUUCCAGGCCCAGCUGCAGAGUUCUGCUGCCUGGAAUGGUUUGAGUGCAGGAGGUUGUGCAGUGUCCAGUGAGUCAGCCAAGGUGGGACCUGAUGGGAAGCCCUUGUCAGAGUGCAGCAGAGCAGAGAGCCUGGCUGGUCCACCAGACUUUUUAUGUGGGAACCCAGGGCACAGGGAACAUUGCUCUGUCUGCUCUGACUCCCAGAGAAACAGUGCCUUUAACCUGCACCCAUGGAGAGGGCUUCUGAGGCUUUGAGAUAGAUUAGAAUUUACCAAGGUGUGAAAUAGAUAAUAGAGGGUAGUACAGUAUGUCACUUGGGUGAGAAAUUUAGGUUUUGGGAUUUUUAGUAUGGUGUAGCCCCUGUCGUCAUCGCCAUCGUCUUCUUCUUCUCCUUC